Molecule: RNA transcript, 4365 nt
Organism: Pyrgilauda ruficollis (rufous-necked snowfinch)
Lineage: Eukaryota; Metazoa; Chordata; Aves; Passeriformes; Passeridae
Gene name: 5'-AMP-activated protein kinase catalytic subunit alpha-1-like
Exons: 10
Source: RefSeq, a predicted model, not a curated record
CUAGCUUCCUGCUGCCUGCAGGCACAGGCCUUGCGGGCGAUUGCGGUGCUAGCCAGCAACACGAGGGAGCUUAAGCUUCCAGGCGGUGCCACUUCUGACGCUGGUAGGCCAAGGUCAGCUCCUUGCAUCGCGCCAGCGCUGAGGGGAACCGCCGCUGAGAACUGAGAAGUGCUCUGCGCCUGCCUUCCCUCCCGGUUCCGAAAUCUGUUCGAAUUUCCAGUAUUUCCCAGGGAAGGUGGCAUAAAAACACCCUGGCCCCCUCACUCCGCCCCACAGUUUCCGGGGGCUGUUCUUUCCAUCCCGCCGUUAUGCCCUGCCGGCAGGGCCCACCUGCAGAAGCCUCACCCCUUAGGGUGCCACUGAGCCGACCCAGCCCUCCCCCACCCAACAGCAAGGAUUUGUCCCUGGGGAGGGCAGGAAAGUGAUAAGUGCUGAGAUCACUUCCAGAUUGGGUUGAUGAGUGUUAUUUGUUUGCUCCUCCCCCGCUAGUACUGCGGCGCAGGCGCGCUCUAUGGGCAGGCUCAACCCUAGGCUCAAGAUGGCGGCGGCAGCGGCAGAUAAACAGAAGCACGAGCACAGCCGCGUGAAGAUUGGGCACUAUAUUCUGGGCGACACGCUCGGCGUCGGUACCUUCGGCAAAGUCAAAGUUGGUAAACAUGAAUUAACUGGGCAUAAAGUCGCAGUGAAGAUCCUAAAUCGACAGAAGAUUCGCAGCCUUGAUGUUGUAGGAAAAAUCCGCAGGGAGAUCCAGAACCUCAAACUCUUCAGACAUCCUCAUAUAAUUAAACUGUACCAGGUCAUCAGUACACCCACUGACAUUUUCAUGGUGAUGGAAUAUGUUUCAGGAGGAGAACUGUUUGAUUAUAUCUGUAAAAAUGGAAGGCUUGAUGAAAAGGAAAGUAGACAUCUGUUCCAGCAAAUCCUUUCUGGUGUGGAUUACUGUCACAGGCACAUGGUAGUACAUAGAGAUCUGAAGCCUGAAAAUGUGCUGCUUGAUGCACACAUGAAUGCCAAGAUAGCUGAUUUUGGUCUAUCAAAUAUGAUGGCAGAUGGAGAAUUUUUAAGAACAAGCUGUGGUUCCCCUAACUAUGCUGCACCAGAAGUAAUUUCAGGAAGAUUAUAUGCAGGUCCAGAAGUAGAUAUUUGGAGCACUGGAGUUAUUCUCUAUGCUUUGUUAUGUGGAACACUUCCAUUUGAUGAUGAUCACGUGCCAACCCUUUUUAAGAAGAUAUGUGAUGGUAUCUUUUAUACCCCUCAAUACCUGAAUCCAUCUGUAUCUAGUCUUCUGAAACACAUGCUGCAAGUAGAUCCAAUGAAGAGAGCAACAAUCAGAAACAUUAGAGAACAUGAAUGGUUUAAGCAGGACCUUCCUAAGUACCUGUUUCCUGAAGACCCGUCAUAUAGUUCUACCAUGGUUGAUGAUGAAGCCUUAAAAGAAGUGUGUGAGAAGUUUGAAUGCACUGAAGAAGAAGUGCUAAGUUGUCUGUACAGCCAAAAUCAUCAGGACCCUUUAGUGGUUGCUUAUCACCUCAUUAUAGAUAAUAGAAGAAUAAUGAAUGAGGCCAAAGACUUCUACUUGGCUACAAGCCCACCGGAUUCUUUUCUUGAUGAUCACAAUCUGUCUCGACCUCAUCCUGAAAGAGUGCCAUUCUUAGUAGCUGAAGCACCACGUCCCCGCCAUACUCUUGAUGAGCUGAAUCCACAGAAGUCAAAACACCAAGGUGUAAGAAGAGCGAAGUGGCACUUGGGAAUACGGAGUCAGAGUAGACCAAAUGAUAUCAUGUCUGAAGUUUGUCGAGCAAUUAAACAACUGGAUUAUGAAUGGAAGGUUGUAAAUCCAUACUAUCUGCGUGUUCGAAGCAAGAAUCCAGUGACAAGUGCAUAUUCCAAAAUGAGUCUACAGUUGUAUCAGGUGGAUAGCAGGACGUACUUACUGGACUUCCGUAGCAUUGAUGGAAUGAGAAUAUGACCACCUUGCAGACAAGUUGAUGGGCUUUCUCCUCUCCUCAAAGCAGGGACACCUCUUUGCCCUGAAGACACCAUCAGGAUUAAGAGGAAGAAGUUGACACUGACCAGACAGAAUCCUUUGUUUGAAUGGAAUUUAUGCAUCAUAUAUGAGUCACGGGUUUUUUUUCUAGUCAGAGAAGAGGAGGUGAGAAUAUGUGAGGGAAACAACAUGGUGAGACCAAGGUCAGUGGAGAAGGAGGGGGAAGAGGUGUUCCAGGUACCAGAGCCGAGAUUCCUCUGCAGGCUGUGGUGAAGACUAUGGUGAAGCAGGCUGUCCCCCUGCAGCCCAUGGGUCCAUGGGGGAUGCAGAGAUCCACCCGCAUCCUGUGGGGCAGGUGCCCAUGCUGGAGCAGGUGGAUGCCUCGAGGAGGCUGUGAUCCAGUGGGAGACCCGGUGGAGAGAGGGCCCCUGUUUCCAGGCUGGAACAGCCUGUCCUUGGAGGACUGCACCCCAUGAAACGAGAGACCCACAUUGCAGCAGUUUUGGGAGGACUGCCCAUGGGAGGGACUCAUGUUGCAGCAGGUGUGGUAUGGCUGCUGCUCGUGAGAGUGGACCCACGUCGGAGAAGUUCGCGGAGAACUGUCUCCCAUGGGAGGGACCCCACAGUCUCACAGGGGAAGGACUCCUCCCCCACAGCAGCAGAAGAAAAUCUAGGUGAUGAACUGACCCAAAAAACCCCCAUACCCUGUCUCCCUGUACUGUCAGUUGCAAGGAGGGAAUGGCUGGGGGGGAGAAGGGGUUUUAAGGGGUUAUUUUAGUUCUCAUUAUCCUCCUCUGAUUCUGUUAGUAAUAAAUUUACUUUGCAACUUAUGUGGAGCCUGUUUUGCUCUGAAUUGUUUUCUCCUGGUCCUUAUCUCACUCAUGAACCCUUCAUUAUUUUUUUUCCCCUCUCCUCUGCUCAGCUGUAGCAGGGGAGGGUGAGUGAGGGUGAGUGAGCAACUCUCAUGGGUGCCUGGCAUUGGGCCAGUGUCAAACCACGACAGCCUCUCUCCUUCAAGGUAGUCAAGAGCUCGUCCUAACUUAUUAUCAUCUGCAAACUUAGUAUCCCUUAGAGUCCUGCAUCCAAGUAAUCUAUGAAGAUGUUGAAGAGCACUGGAGCCCUGUGGAACCCCACUAGUGAUCAGCCAGCCUUGUCUUGAUUUGAGACAAAUAAGGAAACAUCCUGAAAGGAGUCUCCUCUAAAAAAGCAGGUUUCAGCACUCCCUCCCCCCACCAGUUCAAAAGGAAUCUUGGAGGAAAGGGAAAAAAAAUGUUUAUUUAACAAGCAGAGUGCACGCAGGCACAAGAAAAAUAAUAAAUAAUGUUAGAUAUUGAAACCUCCCUGUGGAGAAAGCUGGUGGAUUCAGAGUUCUUUCUGUAGGUGUGGCUCAGCUCCUCCUGAGGUCUGGAGCUGGGAUGCAGAGUCCCAGGGCCUCCCCUCUGGGCCACGGCGUGGGGCUCCCAGCAAUUUUCUGGUGUUCAGACCAGGGCAAAGCCGAACAGUUCCAGAAGAAGCAGCCACAGUCUCAGGAAAACUUCUUGCCUCAGCUAACAAACAAGAAGCUAGCUAAUAGCAAAGAUGUACUCCCUCUAUCAGUGCUACACAACACAGCUGAGUGAACCUGGGGGAGGAUGUGUGAAAAGCACACCGAAAUAUUUCCACUGGCUUCCCCUCCCUCUCUCGGACCUAGCUUAAAGUUACAGGACCCAUAAAGCAGAUGAUAGGGGAUACAGUAUCAUAACCACCCCAGGACACUACUCCUCUGCUCUUAGGAGGUGGUGCUUAAAAAGUGACCAGAACUGAUGGACCCCAGCACUGAUGCCAGAAUGAUUUUUGCUUUUAUAUUUCCUUCAUAUAUAUUCAUAAAUCUGUAGACUUGUCCUCGUUUGAGACAGAUUUGGAAACUUCCCAAAGGUUCUUUCCUCUAAAGGGCAGAAUUCAGCAGCCCCUCCCCCAACCAGUUUGGGAGAUAAUCUCCUUGGAGAAAAGUGAAAAAAACUGUUUAUUUAACAAGCAUAGUACUCACAAGCAUGAAAAAAAAAUAUUAAACAAUGAAACCUCUUGCUGUUUUGAAGAGAUGGCAAAUUCAGAAAGUCCUUCUGUAGUUCAGUGAGUCCUCCAUGGGUGUGUCUCGGCCUUGCUCAGUCUCUCUCAAUCCCUCUGGAGAAGGAACCUGGAGUCCAGGCUGCAGAGCAGCUUGGGGGGGCCCCCCGGGCAAUGGUCCUGGUGUUCUGGACCAGAGAGAAGCCAAACAUUCCCAGAAGAAAGACACAGUCCUGGGAAAACCUUUCUUGCCAUAGCUAACGAGAAAAACCAGUGGAAAAAAAAGCAAAGAAAAACUCCUUGUGUCUCUCUCUCUGCAAAAGCCAAGAACUUGG